Molecule: ribosomal RNA, 729 nt
Filed under: uncultured eukaryote
Lineage: Eukaryota
Description: SSU rRNA
Rfam family: Eukaryotic small subunit ribosomal RNA
Source: RNAcentral
CGCGUGCACUGGUUCGGCCGGGCCUUUCCCUCUGGGGAGCCGCAUGCCCUUCACUGGGUGUGUCGGGGAACCAGGACUUUUACUUUGAACAAAUUAGAUCGCUUAAAGAAGGCCUAUGCUCGAAUACAUUAGCAUGGAAUAAUAGAAUAGGACGCGUGGUUCUAUUUUGUUGGUUUCUAGGACCGCCGUAAUGAUUAAUAGGGACAGUCGGGGGCAUCAGUAUUCAAUUGUCAGAGGUGAAAUUCUUGGAUUUAUUGAAGACUAACUACUGCGAAAGCAUUUGCCAAGGAUGUUUUCAUUAAUCAGGAACGAAAGUUAGGGGAUCGAAGACGAUCAGAUACCGUCGUAGUCUUAACCAUAAACUAUGCCGACUAGGGAUCGGACGAUGUUAUAUUUUGACUCGUUCGGCACCUUACACGAAAGUAAAGUUUCUGGGUUCUGGGGGGAGUAUGGUCGCAAGGCUGAAACUUAAAGAAAUUGACGGAAGGGCACCACCAGGGGUGGAGCCUGCGGCUUAAUUUGACUCAACACGGGGAAACUCACCAGGGCCAGACACAAGUAGGAUUGACAGAUUGAGAGCUCUUUCUUGAUUUUGUGGGUGGUGGUGCAUGGCCGUUCUUAGUUGGUGGAGUGAUUUGUCUGCUUAAUUGCGAUAACGAACGAGACCUUAACCUGCUAAAUAGCCCGCAUUGCUUUGGCAGUGCGCCGGCUUCUUAGAGGGACUAUCGG